Molecule: long non-coding RNA, 1955 nt
Organism: Daphnia carinata
Lineage: Eukaryota; Metazoa; Arthropoda; Branchiopoda; Diplostraca; Daphniidae
Exons: 7
Source: RefSeq, a predicted model, not a curated record
AGUAUCUUUACGCGUAACAGUGAAUCAAUUAACUCACCUGGUUUUGUAGUUGAUUGUCUGCAGUAUCAAUUUUGCGCAGUGAACUUGCCACUUUACUUGCCUAACACAACACUACCAACAUGAACCAGAGGAAGAUGACUUCCGAAGACACACUUAUGACCGUGAUACCGUCGGGCUGGUUGGUCAUUGAAAUACUGUUGGCGAUGAAAAAAGAACGGGCAAUAAAUUCCACAAAAUAGUGAGCUAUAGAUAUUAAUAAGAUGAGUCCGUAUUGUCUACAUCUUGUUGGAUCCCUUUAUAAAAUAAAGAAGUCAGCCAGACAAUGGAGCAAUACGUGACCAGUACACUGAUUGGCACAAUCUUUGCGAAAAAUGCAGUAACGGUGAUGAACAUCCUGUACUUGGACUCAUUUGAGAAGUUUGGAUUACUUAGCAUUGAACAAUAUUUCUUACCGCUAGGAUUGGAAAGAAUCCGAUAAGUAACGUUCUUCGUAAUUUGGUAUGAUCGAUUUUACAGUAAGCAAAAUCAAAUGUUUCCACAACAUUCCAUAAACGUAGCCAUCGGUUCUGAGCAACGUAGAAAAAAGCUGGAUAAACAAUGGCUAUAAAACAAAAGUGAUUGGCAGCAUCUAUUCUGGCAUUCCAGCUUAACGUUGUGGAAGUUGAGAUAUUCAACGCUUUAUUCGUUUCGGUAAAUGGAAACGAAAUUUUCCAAAAUUUGAUUACGAUAAAAUCUACGCUUGCCCAUUGACAAAGCUCGAUCCCAAAAAUGCGCAUCCAGAAAAAGAUCGGCUUGAAACACCAUGCUACAUUACGAUUAAGUGCUGGAACAGCCGGAUCAACUUUGUUCUUCACCAUGGCUCAAAACAAACUAAUCUCACCUUGGCAUGAUGAAAACCUUUUUGAAAAGCCAUCGCAUUCAGGGCUUUGAUUUCCAAAAUAACCUGUCGUGGACGACAUUUUCCUGAGAUGCAAAGAAGAGGAAUUAUAAUAGAGUAAUGAGGAUAUGUUUCACUAAACCCGGUUGUCAUGGGAAUUCGUUUCCUGGCCUACUCUUUUCGAUCUGGCUCCUCCCUCUCGUCCCCGCACGUGUUGACAUUUAAAAAGGUUGAAGGGGCUUGGAAUAGUCGGGAAUCGAACCCAAGUAUCUGAGCUAAAGCAAGAAUACUCAAUAUAUCGUUAUUGAAAUAAAAUUAAGCUACAACAAAAAAAGAAUCACCCUCAGAUUGCCUGACGAUAUCGAUGACGCUAACAUUAAACUCGCGAUUCAAAAAGUUGAUAAACCAGAGCCGAAAAUCAGGAUCAGUCAACCUUUGGUGAGAGGAUAACGGCAUUGGUAACAGAACCAAUCGGUUCGCAGCACUUAUAAUCCACGUUUGGAGUUGUCCACCCCUUUCGUUGAUGAUCGAUAAAUUGAUCUGUUGGAGUGUUGGAUUUUCUACAGCAACAGAUGGAGGAUCAGGUAUAUAAAUUUGGUCAAACGACGGUCGGAUUUGAAUAUCGUGGUGAAAGUUCGUAAAUGGCUGCUUGCAAGUUGGGCAUUCUAAUUUGAUCCGGCACCAAUCAACCAAGCAUCGAAAACAAAAGACGUGCCCGCAGUCGGGAUGGGACUUGUUCAAAUGCGGAUUAAGACAAAUAGCACAUAUACCGUCAUCGUAAUUUCGGAGCAUUGCUCUUGGAUUAGAAGACUCAUUUUUAGUUGCCAUCUUGAUUUGAUUGGUCGUUCAGAUGCGUUUAAUGUCAUCCGAGAGACAUGCCUUUCUCUUGUUGCCUUGGCCUGUACGCAAGCAAUUGGUAAGUAGCCCUCCAGCCUUAUUUAUUUUUCUACCUUUCUGUUCGAUUAGAACUUGUAAUCAUCAUUUGCGUAAUUGCGUACAUGUCAAAAACACCCAUAAAUUUCAAUAUUUGCCCUACAUGGUAAUUUAGUAUUGUUAAUAAAAAGUUGACAAACUGUCA